RNAcentral lists this long non-coding RNA (3532 nucleotides) under Homo sapiens (human). RNAcentral's name for it is "HSALNT0245127". Lineage: Eukaryota; Metazoa; Chordata; Mammalia; Primates; Hominidae. The record is from RNAcentral.
AGGCCAUUCUGGGUCCCAGACCCACAGCUUUGGACAUUAUGGGAAUCAGAAUUCUUAGAUGGCUUCACAAUCUCUGUCCCUGGGUGUGUUACUCCCUUGAUGAUAUUAUAUUAUAUGGCAGAAGGGAUCUGCAGUGUAAUUAACAUUACCAAUCAGUUGAUCUCCAAGUAGGUCAGUUAUCUGAGUGGGCUGGAUCUAAUCCCACGAGCUUAUUAAAAGCAGAGAGUUUCUCCAAUAGCAGAAGGGAAGUCAGAGAGAUUCUAAGCACAAGAAGAAUGGGAUGCACGUUCACUGGCUUUAAAGAUGCAGGAAGCAUUACAUGGAAAGGACUUGUGAACAGCCCCAAGGAGCUCAGAGAGACGCCCAGCCAACGGCCAGCAAGAAAACAGGAACCUCAGUCCUGCAACCACAAGGAAGUGGGUUCUGUCAACAACCUAAGUGAACCUGGAAGUCGAUUCCUCCCUAGAGCCUCUGGAUGAGAGCCCAGGCUGACCAACACCUUGAUUUUGGCUUCCUGACAUCCUAAGCAGAGAUCCAGUGAAGCCUGCCCCAGAUGGCUAACCUACAGAACCCUGGAUAUAGGUACCAACGAGACCCUGGGGAAGGGGAGAGCCCUGAGAUGGAAGGAGCCUGGGUCCCUGAAUCACCACGUGGAGGAAAGCCACUGACCAAUCAGGAACGCUCGUCUUGGUCUGUUAUGUGACUAAGAAAUAAAUUCCUAAGAGAGACUGAAGAACUGGGGGGAGGAGAGCAUCCCUAGCUACAGUUAUUGAAAACUCUGCUUGGUAAUGUGGCAUUGAGAGACUCUGAGAAGCUGGCUUCAGGAAGGUGGCCCCACACUGCCUGCCCACCACCUGGGAUGCCACCUGCCGCAACGGUGUUGGUCUCUGGUCAGGGCUGGGGUAAAGAUCAGCAGUGGCUCAUCUUCCCUCUGACACAGCAGCAUGGGACACCUGGAUGGAACUGAAAUGGGGUCCCAGAUACAGCAAACCUCUCUCCCUGUCCACUUCUGAAGUCCAGCUCGGGAUUGCCGGCCCCAGCAGAGCAGGCAGGGGAGCUUUGACUGUGGAUGGUGUUUGAGCCUAGACUAGGCCCCAGGGUCUUCAAUGAAGCUCACAGAUGGAAAAGCCCAGCAACCAGGGGUCAGAGGCCCUGGAAGUUAGAAAAUUACAAGUCCCCAUCCUUCAAGGAGCUCCAGGAUGACUCUGCCUCAGCAAUUUCCAGUGCAAAUUUACUUUUUGUUUGAGUCAGGAAAUAACAGGCUGCAGACUCCCUAGGGGCCCAGGAAUCCAGCCACCAGCUUCUCCUGGCUUCUCUCAUCCUUCCGUGAGCAAGACUCAGCCAGACGUACAGGGUGGCCCCGAGCUUAAAUUACAACCACCUGACCAGAGCUGCCCCGCAGAUGCCCAGACCCUGCUUAGAGAGGGUCCCUGUGGAGAGAGGGGCUUCCCCAGGCCUCUGGCUGGUCGCAUGCGUGGCCUGAAUUCUCCAUGCACAGGCAAGAGGCUGUCUCUACUUCCCACCCUAGGCAACUCUUAGCACUAACCCUGAAGUGACGAUGAGCCACGGAGCCAGGGUGGAAGCUACACAGUGCGUCUCACGUGACUUCCAGUGAGAGCUGUUCCCAAGUUUACCAUCCCUCGGCGGUGGCUCACCACCCUCUCUGCCCAAAGUCCUCUCAAUAGCCUAAGUCUCUUCCCUCCACUCAGCCUCAUUGCUCUCAUUUUGUCACUUAGAGCUUAGUGACAUUUUGCUUUCUUCCAAAUCCUCCUUCUUGCAGUCUAGCUGGGUCCUUUCAUGCCUAGUUUACAAAGAUGUCUGGCCUGAUCCCUAUCUGCCAGCCCCUAUCCCUCCCAGGGGGACCAGGAAGCCUGGGUUUGACAGGUGCAAUGCACAGGUGCCGGGCGCCCACUGGGAGUGCAGGAGGCCAAGGUCUUCCCAGGACUGGCAGCUCAGAUGGCCCAGGCAGAAAUAACCUGAGCCUGCUGCCCUUUCCUUCUUGGGAGUGACUCAGCGAGAAGCCGGAAGAUAGAAACACAAAUCUGGUCCUGGAUCUUGCAGAGCCAGUCACAGGCAAGGCCACAGCCUUAAGGCUGUGUACGGAGAGGACCUGGAGCCAGCCAUAGGGCUGGACGCUGAAAAGACGCUCAACCUCAUUUAGCAGGAGACAAGUGCAAAUGAAAACUAUACCCAGACCCCAUUUUCCACAGAGCAGAUUGGCAGAGAUGCAAGCUUUCAGGACACACUCACUUGGCAAGAAGGGGAGGCCAUUCUCCCGCUUUGCUAGCAGGCUGUAAAAUGAUACAAUCUCCUCGGAAGGCAAGUUGGCAAUAUCUAUCCACUAAGUGCACAAAUUCUUUGACCCAGCGAUUCUACCUGUACAAACGGAACACCUAGCUAUGCGUGCACAUUUAUGACAUGACCCAGGCAGCAUUGUUUGUAAUAAUGACAAAGGAUUGGAGGCUCCUACAUAGGUGACUGGUUCCACACUUGCGGUGUCCCCAUGCGAUGGAUCACAGUAGGCAGAACAGAUAAUUGGAACCAUUGAUGGACGAGUAUGGAACCGUGUCCUAGAUACAUUGGAAAGAGGAAAAACAAAACAAAAGAAAUUGAGGAGCAGAACGGGCUGUGGGGCUGGCUGGUUUCAAUUCUCGAUGAAUGGAUGAAAUGGCACACUCCCAUUUGGGUAAAGGAGGGUAACAGAGAAGCAAUGUCUAUGCUGGUCUAAUGUGUGUGCUAAGGAAUAUCUCCGGAUGGAUACCCCAGAUUGGUUUCAUUAGCUAUACAGAGGCAAGCAUAUACCUUUUUGUAACUUGAGCAUUUUAAAAUAUGUUAGCUGGGCCGGGUGGCACGUGCCUGUAGUCCCAGCUACUUGGAAGGCUGAGGCAGAAGAAUCACUCGAAGCCUGGAAUUCAAGGCUACAGUGAGCCAUGAUGGGGUCUAUGAAUAGCCACUGCAUUCCAGCCUAGGCAACACAGUGAGACCCUCAUCUCUAAAAACAAUAAAAAUUCAAAAAAUUUUUUUGAACUAGGCAAACAUGUUACUUAUUUUAAAAAAAUAAACAGUUUAAAAGGUGAGGCCAGGCAUGGUGGCACACGCUUGUAAUCCCAGCACUUUGGGAGGCCGAGGCAAGCAGAUCAUGAGGUCAAGAGAUCGAGACCAUCCUGGCCAACAUGGUGAAACCCCGUAUCUACUAAAAAUACAAAAAUUAGCUGGGCAUGGUGGCACUUGUCUGUAGUCCCAGCUACUUGGGAGGCUGAGGCAGGAGAAUCGCUUGAACCCGGGAGGCGGAGGUUGCAGUGAGCCGAGAUCGCGCCACCGCACUCCAGCCUGGCAACAGGGUGAGGCUCUGUCUCAAAAAAAAAAAAAAAAAAUGGUGAACCCCUGGCUCGGUAAUGGAAUAAAAUGACACCAGUACUUGAGAGGCAAGCAAGUUCCAGGAUAGAACGAGGUGGUGGAGGGAAGCGAUCAUUCCAUUUUACAUUCAUAUUUUGCAAACAGUUUCUCCUUUUCUGUUGCUGCUUUCAAUCCA